This 465-nucleotide ribosomal RNA is filed under the name uncultured bacterium. Its description in RNAcentral is "partial 16S ribosomal RNA". It matches the Rfam family "Bacterial small subunit ribosomal RNA", at positions 28 to 507 of the family's 1533-position model. The record is from RNAcentral.
GACGAACGCUGGCGGCGUGCUUAACACAUGCAAGUCGAACGGAAAGGCCCCUUUGGGGGUACUCGAGUGGCUGACGGGUGAGUAACACGUGAGUAACCUGCCCUUGACUUCCGUUUAACUUACGGAAACUGGGGCUAAUACCUGAUAGGAAGCAUUUCUGGCUGGAGGGGGGGGGAAGGCAUCGGUCGGUUUGGGUGGACGGACGGCCUAUCAGCUUGUUGGUUGGGUAGUGGCUUACCAAGGCUUUGAUUGGUAGGCGGCCCGGGAGGGGGGCCGGCCAACUUGGGGAUGAGAUACGGCCCAGACUCCCACGGGAGGGAACCGUGGGGAAUAUUGGACCAUGGGCGGGAGCCCGAUGCAGCCACGGCGCGUGCGGGAUGACGGCCUUCCGGUUGUAAACCGCUUUCAGCAGGGGAGAAGCUUGUGGUGACGGUACCUGCAAAAGAAGCACCGGCUAACUACGUG